Molecule: ribosomal RNA, 662 nt
Filed under: Providencia stuartii
Lineage: Bacteria; Pseudomonadati; Pseudomonadota; Gammaproteobacteria; Enterobacterales; Morganellaceae
Description: bacterial SSU rRNA
Rfam family: Bacterial small subunit ribosomal RNA
Source: RNAcentral
GCCUGGGGAGUACGGCCGCAAGGUUAAAACUCAAAUGAAUUGACGGGGGCCCGCACAAGCGGUGGAGCAUGUGGUUUAAUUCGAUGCAACGCGAAGAACCUUACCUACUCUUGACAUCCAGAGAAUUUGGCAGAGAUGCUGAAGUGCCUUCGGGAACUCUGAGACAGGUGCUGCAUGGCUGUCGUCAGCUCGUGUUGUGAAAUGUUGGGUUAAGUCCCGCAACGAGCGCAACCCUUAUCCUUUGUUGCCAGCGAUUCGGUCGGGAACUCAAAGGAGACUGCCGGUGAUAAACCGGAGGAAGGUGGGGAUGACGUCAAGUCAUCAUGGCCCUUACGAGUAGGGCUACACACGUGCUACAAUGGCGUAUACAAAGAGAAGCGACCUCGCGAGAGCAAGCGGAACUCAUAAAGUACGUCGUAGUCCGGAUUGGAGUCUGCAACUCGACUCCAUGAAGUCGGAAUCGCUAGUAAUCGUAGAUCAGAAUGCUACGGUGAAUACGUUCCCGGGCCUUGUACACACCGCCCGUCACACCAUGGGAGUGGGUUGCAAAAGAAGUAGGUAGCUUAACCUUCGGGAGGGCGCUUACCACUUUGUGAUCCAUGACUGGGGUGAAGUCGUAACAAGGUAACCGUAGGGGAACCUGCGGUUGGAUCACCUCCUUA